Molecule: non-coding RNA, 67 nt
Organism: Podarcis lilfordi (Lilford's wall lizard)
Lineage: Eukaryota; Metazoa; Chordata; Lepidosauria; Squamata; Lacertidae
Source: the annotation of a GenBank genome assembly
UGCCCUCUAGUUCAGUUGGUAGAGCAUGAGAUCUCAAGGUUGGGGGUUUGAGCCCCACAUUGGGCAA